AAGAGCUGAAUGGCCUCUUUGUCUUUUUAAUUUUUGUACUUAUCUCCAGCCGCUUCAGUUCUGACUUCUGAGUACUGAUGUGUCUUCCAAGUCCCAAUCAGGAAAGGAGAUACACAUAUGGAAAAGAAAAGGCAAGAGAGAGAAAUAUCGGGGAGAGGUAGAGAAGAGCAGAAAAUCCGAAUUUUUCUCAUGAGUAGAACUAGAAUUAAAGAAAGGGAAGACCUUCUCAUCCCAACUGCUCCCACUUAUGUAUGGAUUUUCUAUGUGAAAACUUGGGAAAGAGAGGCAAGAGUGAAGGAAAGGAGAAUGUUUUUUUCAAGCUAUUCAAGCAGCAUCAUUUACAUGCCUCCACAUAGCACCAAUCAGGGAUAUCUGUUGUACCAACCAUCAAUGCAAGGUUACAAGCAGGAUUCCUCACAGCAGCAGCAACAAACCUAUCCGGUGCCUGCAGCAUUAGAAAAGAAAUAUGAUCCAAUUUUUUUAAGUGAGCCCUUGUUCACUUGAGAAUUCAAAUAUGAAUGUGUAUCCUUAAUCAUAACAUCUAAUUUACCAAGUAUUUGCAUGCA
Quercus robur (English oak) is the source of this 566-nucleotide long non-coding RNA. RefSeq lists it as uncharacterized. The transcript is spliced from 2 exons. NCBI's taxonomy places the organism in Eukaryota, Viridiplantae, Streptophyta, Magnoliopsida, Fagales, Fagaceae. The record is from RefSeq and is a predicted model, not a curated record.